RNAcentral lists this ribosomal RNA (468 nucleotides) under uncultured bacterium. Its description in RNAcentral is "partial 16S ribosomal RNA". It matches the Rfam family "Bacterial small subunit ribosomal RNA", at positions 28 to 507 of the family's 1533-position model. The record is from RNAcentral.
GACGAACGCUGGCGGCGUGCUUAACACAUGCAAGUCGAACGGAAAGGCCCUGCUUUUGUGGGGUGCUCGAGUGGCGAACGGGUGAGUAACACGUGAGUAACCUGCCCUAGACUUUCGGAUAACUUCAGGAAACUAGGGCUAAUACCGUAUAGGAGCUCCUGCUGCAUGGUGGGGGUUGGAAAGUUUCGGCGGUUGGGGAUGGACUCGCGGCUUAUCAGCUUGCUGGUGGGGUAGUGGCUUACCAAGGCUUUGACGGGUAGCCGGCCUGAGAGGGUGACCGGCGACAAUGGGACUGCGGUACGGCCCAGACUCCUACGUGGGGCAGCAGUGGGGAACAUUGCACAGUGGGAGGAAGCGUGAUGAAGCGGCGCCGCGUGCGGAAUGACGGCCUUCGGGUAGUAAACCGCUUUCGCCUGUGACGAAGCGGUAGUGACGGUAAUGGGUAAAGAAGCACCGGCUAACUACGUG